AGGGGUAUAGCUUGGUGGUAGAGCACUUGCCUAGCAGGCAUGAGGCCCUGGGUUCAAUCCCUAGCACCACAA
This 72-nucleotide transfer RNA is filed under the name Urocitellus parryii (Arctic ground squirrel). Its description in RNAcentral is "Spermophilus parryii (Arctic ground squirrel) tRNA". It matches the Rfam family "tRNA". From Rfam's summary of the family: Transfer RNA (tRNA) molecules are approximately 80 nucleotides in length. Their secondary structure includes four short double-helical elements and three loops (D, anti-codon, and T loops). RNAcentral also lists the same sequence under 2 other names. The record is from Rfam by way of RNAcentral. Lineage: Eukaryota; Metazoa; Chordata; Mammalia; Rodentia; Sciuridae.